Long non-coding RNA from Oncorhynchus kisutch (coho salmon), 4262 nucleotides. The record is from Ensembl. Lineage: Eukaryota; Metazoa; Chordata; Actinopteri; Salmoniformes; Salmonidae.
CAAUUGGCUAGGUGUCUCUGGUUAGUUAGCAAGCCAACUCUACCUGUGAUGAGAAAUGUGGAAGCUAGUUACCUAGCUAGCUCGCUAUCUGUGACCUUAGAAAAUCAGUGUUUGGAAUGUAACUUGACUUAGCAGAGUGAAAAUCACCCUCCACUGUAUCUGCUGCUUUUUACUAAACCAUCUGCAGAUCCACCUACCUACUAGCCUACCAUGGCUGAACCCAAGUCUAUGGAGUCCCCAGGUUCUGGCUGUGGUGUUCCAUCACAGAAAAGCUCACAGCAGGGUCCAGAGAUGGUGUCAGUGAAGCUGGAGGACUGCAGUCAACCACUGGAAGUCAAUGUGAUUGUGAUAGGGGAAGAGAGAGAACUUAAAGUAGAAGAUCAGAAGGUAGAAGUUAAAGAAGAAGAAGAAGAAAAGGUGGUGGACGAAAAGAGAGCAGUCAAAGAGGAGGAGAUGGAUGUUAAAGAGGACCAUAAGGAGAUAGAGAUUAAACAGGAGGUGGAGGAGAAGAGAGCGGUCAAAGAGGAAGAGAUGGAGAUUGAAAAGGAACAUAAGGAUACAGAAGUCAAAGAAGAGCUGGAGGAGAACGCAGUCAUCAAGGAGAUGGAGGAGAGAGGUGUGAAAGAGGAUGAGGAGACCGAAGUCAAAAAGGAGAGAGGACUAGAAGAAGAGGAGAGAGAAAUCAAAGACGAAGAGGAGAACAGGGACGUGUCUGAUCCAGACCUAGAGGAAGAGGGGGCAGCAUUAGAUAGAAUCACUGACCCAGGAGAGCGCUCCAACCCAGGUUCAGACAGUGAGCCCAGUUCCACAGCAUCAGGAAAGCAUCACCAACACAGACGGAGGAACUCAAGACAGAAACAUCACCACUGCAUGGACUGCUUCACUAGUUUCUAUGAGCCAGAGGAGUUGAGAAGGCACACUUGUAGGCCCCACCCCUGCUCAGAUUGCAGAGGCAGUUCCGUGUGUCCAACUCACGUCAUACCACGCAAAAAGACUAUCAAAGAAAGAAGACUUACCCCUGUGGUCAAUGUGGGAAGAGUUUUCAGGCACCAAGCAAACUAAAGAAACACCAGAUAACUCACACAGGAGAGAAGCCUUUCCACUGCUCUGUAUGUGGGAAGAGUUUUCCUCUUUCACAGACCUUAAAUAGACACCAGCUGAUCCACACAGGAGAGAAGCCUAUCCACUGCUCCCAAUGUGGGAAGGGCUUUAAGCGACCUGAUUCCCUGAAAAAUCAUCUUAGAAUACACACGGGAGAAAAGCCUUUCCACUGCUCCCAAUGUGGGAAAAGUUUCAGUCAUUCAAACUACUUAAAGACACACCAGAGAACUCACACAGGAGAGAAGCCUUACCACUGCUCCCAGUGUGGGAAGCGUUUCAAUCAGUCUUCAGAUCUAAAGAUACACCAGCGAACUCACACAGGAGAGAAGCCUCACAAAUGUUUUCAGUGUGGAAAGAGUUUUAGUCAUUCAAGCUACUUAAAGACACACCAGCGAACUCACACAGGAGAGAAGCCUUACCACUGCCUUCAGUGUGGGAAGAGUUUCAAUCAGUCUUCAGAUCUAAAGACACACCAGCGAACUCAUACAGGAGAGAAGCCGUAUCACUGCUCCCAGUGUGAAAAGAGUUUCAGUCAGUUUUCAAGUCUGAAGACACACCAGCUAACUCACACAGAAAAUAGGUCAUACCACUGCUCCCAUUGUGGAAAGGUUUUCAGUCUGUUGCACCACCUAAAUAGACACCAGCAAACUCACAAAGGAGAAAAGGCUCACCAAUGCUCUCAAUGUAGGAAAAGAUUCAGUCAGUCAUCAAAUCUGAAGACGCACCAGUUAAAGUAUCACAGCCCUGACACCGGACAGAGUGCUCUUGCUUUAGAAGAAAGUCAACUUCAAACCACAGAAGUAAAACACAUGUAAACAUAUCUUAUGAUGUUAAAGGAGCAGAGCAGUUUUAAUAAGGUUGAAAUAACACUUAAAAAUAUAUAUAUUUGCCUGGAUUUUCAGCCUAUUCAGGUGGGAUAGAGUUUUUGUUCCAGCGCGUGACAUCACAAUCUGAUCUGACCAAUCAUAUUUUAUUUGCAUAUGUAUCCUCUUAUAUUGAAGAGGUAAGUGGGGUAGGCUCUAGUGCAGGGUUCCCCAACUGGCUGCCCGCGGGUGGUUUUGAUUGGACCCCAAGAUUUCUGGUAAAAAAAAUCUAAUAAUGUAUCAUUUUUUAUUGUAGGAGAUUAAAGACUUUAACACCAGCCAAUCAGCUCCAAGUGAUUUGAAUUUUGAAAAUCUGUUCCCACGCAUAAGAGAUAUAUAUAUAUAUAUAUAUAUAUAUAUAUAUAUAUAUAUAUAUAUAUAUAUAUAUAUGUGAUCCUAUACAAAUGUAAGCAAGGUUUGAAAUUAUGUUUUAAUAAAAUGUUAUCGGUUUGGGCUUCCUGUAUUCAAUUUGUUCUGGCCCCAUGACCAUCCUCACGAGAAAAAAAUAUCUGAAUCUCGAUGAUGAUCCAUCCCUGUUCUAGAGUCUAUAAGCGAUCCUAUCCACCAAUCAGGGCUGUUUAUGUAAAUAUAGUUCCAUUUGUGUCAACACUCCCCCACAAUCAGACUGAGCAUUCCAACAGCUAAAGGAGGCUCAGAGAAAGAAAUGGUAAACAAUAUAGUUGGAGUUAUUUUCAUGAAAUAAACACAGUGAUUUAUUAGACAUAGUGAUGAUUUACAAAUAAAAAGUCUACAUUAACAACAUUUAUAAUAUAGGUAAUAUAUUCCAUUUAGCAGCCGCUUUUAUCCAAAGCGACUUACAGCCAUGCGUAUGGGUGGUCCAGGGACUCCAACCCACUACCCUGGCGUUAUAAGCACAAUGCUCUACCAACUGAGCUGCAAAGGACCACCUUCCCUGUUAUUCUACAGUAGAACAGGGGUUCUUGUUUUAGCUAUCACCUCUCCUGUUAUUCUACAGUAGAGCAGGGAGUCUUGUUUUAGCUAUCACCUCUCCUGUUAUUCUACAGUAGAGCAGGGAGUCUUGUUUUAGCCAUCACCUCACCUGUUAUUCUACAGUAGAGCAGGGAGUCUUGUUUUAGCCAUCACCUCUCCUGUUAUUCUACAGUAGAGCAGGGAGUCUUGUUUUAGCCAUCACCUCACCUGUUAUUCUACAGUAGAGCAGGGAGUCUUGUACUAGCCAUCACCUCACCUGUUAUUCUACAGUAGAGCAGGGAGUCUUGUCUCUGGUCAUCUCGAUCUCUGCUCAGCAUUUACACAAUCGAUUGUUUUACCACAACCCUGGUAACAUGUUAUAAACAUUCAGUAUCCUGUAAUAAAGCCUGGAUGUCUGGUAAUAAAUGGUGGUUAUUAUGGUGGAAGUGAAGGAACAAUUUCCUUUAGAUUAUUGUAUAGGGUGACAUUUGAACCUGGGUAUCAUGUUAUAAACGUAGCUAUUUUAUGUACUAAAAAUAAUGGUGAUCAAAGUAGAGGAUUGAAAGUGUUGCGUUGGAGUUGUGUUUUAGUAUUGUAUAUUGAUUAUAAAGCUGGCAUGAUGAUAACGGUGUAUUGUAAACAUGGUUGUCGCUAUUUCAGGACUGAACAAAAAAACAACAGCUUCUGAUGUUAGCAGCACUGCAGCAAACAAAACAGCCACACACCUACAGUAACGAGUCUAACUCCCCCUGCGAGCUUGCUUUAUCAGUGACUGGCCUGGCCUUUUCAUACAGUUUAGCUCUUUCAUUCUCUAGUGUUCUGGUAGUGGCAGUAGUCCUUAGGGGAACAAUGUAUCAAGAAUAUAAUGAAUUAUUUAAUGCUUUAUACACAGUGUACAAAGCAUUAGGAGCAUCUGCUCUUUCUGUGACAAAGAGGACUAGGUGAAUCCAGGUGAAAGCUAUGAUCCCUUGUUGAUGUCACCUGUUAAAUUCACUUCGAUCAGUGUAGAUGAAGGGUAAGAGACAGGUUGAAGGAUUUUUAAGCCUUGAUACAAUUGAGACAUGGAUUGAUUGUGUGUGUGCCAUUCAGAGGGUGAAUGCCUUUCAACGGGGUAUGGUAGUAGGUGCCAGGAUUGCAGGGGUGUUCAUGCUCAACAGUUUCUUGUGAGUAUCAAGAAUGGCCAACCACCCAAAGGACAUCCAGCCAACUUGACACAACUGUGGGAAGCAUUACAUGGGCCAGAAUCAUCGUGGAACGCAUUCAAUAAAUCGAGGCUGUUCUGAGGGCAAAAUGGGGGUGCAACUCAAUAUUAGGUAGGUGUUCCUAAUGUUUGGAACACUCAGUGUACAUUUUAUUUACUGGAAAAAC